UAUCAGGGACAAUCUAGACAUGUGUGACAAUACUGAACAUGUCACAUGACUCACCUUAAACAUCAUGUGAUCCACUCUCAGUCUGCACUUUCAUUCAUGACUUCAACAGGUUGAAAUGAGCUUUGAACAAACAUCAGUUUAGUGCUGAAAUAUUUAAACGCUGCAGGAAGAAGAACAACAAAGUUAUGACAAAUGUUUGUGCUUCAAACAAGCAGAAAUAAAUCACUUUUGGAUAACCUGCCAGAGAUUUGGGAAUUUCCAAGAUGCACUAGAAUGCAGCACAGAGUGUGAUUGUUUCGGUGUCCUCAGAUGCCUCUGUGGGUGUUUCCUUCCUGUUCAAACUUUAAUUUCACUUUCCUGAACUCCAUGUUUGUGACUGACGCUGUGAAGGGUACAAACAGGAUUGUUUGGUCUCAGUCAGACUGCAAGGACUCACACAAACACUGGUGAUCGAUCACCUGAAUUCAUCUCAUCACUGUUGAAGGCAUGAAAUGAGCAAAGGGAAGUUUAAGUGAAAAAAGCUGCAGAGCCUUUUGAAGGAAACUUUUUAGAAAAAGUCUCUCUUAUUGGAAAAGUCCCACAGGAACUGUAACACGAUCAGUGGACAACAUGAUGGUGUUUGUAUCACGUUUACUGUCUUCAGCCACAAACUCACUGAUGUACAAACAGAGAUGCUCCCACAGACAGAAACACGUUCUUCUCUCUCUUUUUGUUCUUUAGUUUGCAGACACCAUGGGUCCUCGGCAGUCCACCAUUCAUAUUACGAACAAGACUCGGGGCUACACCCUUCAAAACCCCAGUCUGCAUCUUGUUAGCGGACUCUGCCAAAUCCCUUUGCCAACAAAACUUGGGCCUUCUGAAUGUGGCAACGCUCUGUUCUCUAAGACUGGCGGCACAGCGCGUGGAUCUGUUGGAGUCUUCACCUACGAUCUCUACGAUGCAGCUGCAGACAGAGUUGAUAAGAAAAUAGGUGUCAUGUUCUCUGUUCCUUUUGACUACGGCCUGUACUCUAACUGGUACGGCGUCGGAGUCUUUGACAGGGAAACAAACUGUGAUAGUGCUCUUUAUCGUAACAUGUAUCACAGUCCUGAGAGAGGGUUUGUCAGAGGAAAAGCUGAUGGUUAUGAUCUGACUCACAGAGAUAAUUAUAUUAAUGUUACUGUUAAAUCCAGCAUGACAAACUUCAGCGUUGCAACGCUGAAAGUUGAAGUACACAACAGGGAAUAAAGCAAUUAUGCAAAUAUGAGGUCAGAUUUUUUUAGGGCAGAUCUUGAGAAAAGGCCUGAUCACCCUUCAUUAGUAUUAUUUUUACUUAUCAGGAUAAACAGAUAUAAACUCACAGAUAUAAACUUAAGUUAACGCAGGGUUUCCCCAUCUUCCCCAGAAAAUGGUCCUUACAACAUCUACACAAGAGACAUUAGGAAUAGUGACGAAUAAAGGAUCAUGAAUAUAAAAGAAAUACCAGUAAAAUACAAUCCUGUUGUAAAAAGGACAUGCGAUUAAUGAUCAGUAUGGCUGUUUAUUUCACAGGUGUGAUUGGUUGAACAGGUAUUAAGUGUUCCAUGUUUGUGGCAGUGUAACGGACUCAUCAGUAGAUCCCCAGCAGAUAAUGUCACUGAAAAUAUACUUUAAAAGACUCAGUGAAGAAAAAGAAGAAGCUUCAAACUGAUUUUAGACUGAACUCUGGACAUAACCUGCUCCUGACAGUUUAAGUUUAUAUUCUCUCAUCUGCAGCUGUUUGAGAUUGUGAAUCAGCUUCGUAGUACAGAAACUCAGGUUAACCCUGAAAUAACCUGAAUGAGCAAAAUUCUCUGGAGUUAAAACCUUUAGUAGUUUAAAAAUAAAGUUUUAACAUCGAAUCAUUAAAGAUCAGCUGAGCAGGUCACACAUGCUUGCAUAGAUGGGAUGUAAUGAGUUGGAUUAUUGAUGAAAUCAGACUGAAACUCUCCACCAAAUGUUUUUUAGAAAAUCAUCACUAAACUUUGAGGAAGUAAUGGAAGGUUUCAAGGAUUUAAUAAUCUGUUAUUGGUUCUGCUGUAAAUACUUUCUGAGAAACAUGUCAUGGUCCUGAGUCUGACGACUGAGUGUUUUGUGUUUCUUCAUAUCAUCCUAUGUUCUUGUUUAUUGUGUUAUGUCUUUUGUUUGGGUUUGCUAUGUGUUUGGGUUUGUUUAUGCCUGUGUUCCCUCUGUCUGUCCACGGUGUCUGCUUGUAAGUCUGUUAAGUUCAGUGUCUUAUCAGGUCCUCUGUGUCUGUUUCCUGUUUUAUUCUGAAGGUCCUUGUCUCAUGUGGGUGUGUUCAGUUUACGUUUCCCCGUCUUGUUGGGUGUGGUUUCUUCCAGGUGUGUUCCCCUCCUGUUUCCAUUCCCUGAUUACUCCCCUGUGUAUUUAAGCCCUGUGUUUUCCUGUGCUGUCUGUUGCAUCGUACUCUCACGUUACUGUGUUCUGUCUGCUACUUUGUUUUUGUAUUCUCAGUUUAGUUAAGUUCCUGUUCUGUUGCUAUCAGCAAUACAGCUGAGUGUUUUUGAGUUUACGUCUGCCUCCGAGUCCUGCAUUUUGGGUCCUUUCUCCCUGCCUGCACACAGCCAUGACAAAAUACUAAUUUGAUGUUUCCUGUGCAUUAAUUUCAACAUGUGAUUCUUUGUUUUCUGAGCCCUAAACCAAUAAAUAAAUUACACUUUACUUUAA
RNA transcript from Oreochromis niloticus (Nile tilapia), 2685 nucleotides. It is a transcript of the gene named bryoporin, with no coding region annotated. NCBI's taxonomy places the organism in Eukaryota, Metazoa, Chordata, Actinopteri, Cichliformes, Cichlidae. The transcript is spliced from 4 exons. The record is from RefSeq and is a predicted model, not a curated record.